AUUGAACGCUGGCGGCAGGCCUAACACAUGCAAGUCGAACGGUAACAGGAAGAAGCUUGCUUCUUUGCUGACGAGUGGCGGACGGGUGAGUAAUGUCUGGGAAACUGCCUGAUGGCGGGGGAUAACUACUGGAAACGGUAGCUAAUACCGCAUAACGUCGCAAGACCAAAAAGGGGGACCUUCGGGCCUCUUGCCAUCGGAUGUGCCCAGAUGGGAUUAGCUAGUAGGUGGGGUAACGGCUCACCUAGGCGACGAUACCUAGCUGGUCUGAGAGGAUGACCAGCCACACUGGAACUGAGACACGGUCCAGACUCCUACGGGAGGCAGCAGUGGGGAAUAUUGCACAAUGGGCGCAAGCCUGAUCCAGCCAUGCCGCGUGGAUGAAGAAGGCCUUCGGGUUGUAAAGUCCUUUCGGCGGGAAAGAAAAGAGGAAGGUUAAUACCCCUCCGCACUGACGUUACCCACAGAAGAAGCACCGGCUAACUUCGUG
This 490-nucleotide ribosomal RNA is filed under the name uncultured bacterium. RNAcentral describes it as "partial 16S ribosomal RNA". It matches the Rfam family "Bacterial small subunit ribosomal RNA", at positions 30 to 507 of the family's 1533-position model. The record is from RNAcentral.